This 253-nucleotide ribosomal RNA is filed under the name uncultured bacterium. RNAcentral describes it as "partial 16S ribosomal RNA". It matches the Rfam family "Bacterial small subunit ribosomal RNA", at positions 524 to 776 of the family's 1533-position model. The record is from RNAcentral.
UACGUAGGGUGCAAGCGUUGUCCGGAAUUAUUGGGCGUAAAGAGCUCGUAGGCGGUUUGUCGCGUCUGCUGUGAAAACUCGGGGCUCAACUCCGAGCUUGCAGUGGGUACGGGCAGACUAGAGUGCGGUAGGGGAGACUGGAAUUCCUGGUGUAGCGGUGGAAUGCGCAGAUAUCAGGAGGAACACCGGUGGCGAAGGCGGGUCUCUGGGCCUGCACUGACGCUCAUGCACGAAAGCGUGGGGAGCAAACAGG